AUUAUAUCUAAGAUUUUUAUCCAAUUCCCAUUUAAUGUUACUAUAAUUCAGGGGAAAAAAAGGAUUCAAUCAUCUUUUCACUGCUAUUUCAUACCAGCCAUCUGGGAGACUCUGGAAUGAAAAAGAGUCCAAAGACUAGAAUUGCACAAGGAAUAAGUCCUGCAAUCACUCCACUUGCACAUGUUACCUGAUUUAUAGUUGUUAGUGCUCCUCGAAGAUUCUUUGGUGCAAUUUCAGCGAUAAAUACUGGUACCUUGUCAUACAUUCAAUAAAGGCAUCACGGUCGUUAAGAACAGCUCUAGAGAGUAGAGAGGGGAGACUUACACAGGAUCCAAACUCAAAUGAACCACAUACUGCAACAACGGUGCUGAGUAUAUUGAUACAAACGGAAAAGAGAAGAAGCUUGAAGCAAUUUGUUCAAGGUGAAGAAGAUAUGGAAAAAUGGAAGGUGGAAAUUCCAGGUGAGAGUUCCAUUUUUUUUGUCA
Durio zibethinus is the source of this 485-nucleotide long non-coding RNA. RefSeq lists it as uncharacterized. The record is from RefSeq and is a predicted model, not a curated record. Lineage: Eukaryota; Viridiplantae; Streptophyta; Magnoliopsida; Malvales; Malvaceae.